Molecule: non-coding RNA, 30 nt
Filed under: Mus musculus (house mouse)
Lineage: Eukaryota; Metazoa; Chordata; Mammalia; Rodentia; Muridae
Source: RNAcentral
GCCAUGGUCUAAAUCGGAGAAACCUUCCUC